GAUGAACGCUAGCGGCAGGCCUAACACAUGCAAGUCGAGGGGUAACGGGGAGUGCUUGCACUCUGCCGACGACCGGCGCACGGGUGCGGAACGCGUAUGGAACCUACCUUUGUCAGGGGAAUAGCCCAGAGAAAUUUGGAUUAAUGCCCCAUGGUAAUGCGGAAUUGCAUGAUUUUGCAUUUAAAGAUUUAUCGGACAAAGAUGGCCAUGCGUACCAUUAGCUUGUUGGUAAGGUAACGGCUUACCAAGGCAACGAUGGUUAGGGGCCCUGAGAGGGGGAUCCCCCACACUGGUACUGAGACACGGACCAGACUCCUACGGGAGGCAGCAGUGAGGAAUAUUGGACAAUGGGCGGGAGCCUGAUCCAGCCAUGCCGCGUGCAGGAUGACGGCCCUAUGGGUUGUAAACUGCUUUUAUACGGGAAGAAACCUAUCUACGUGUAGAUAGCUGACGGUACCGUAAGAAUAAGGACCGGCUAACUCCG
RNAcentral lists this ribosomal RNA (484 nucleotides) under uncultured Croceitalea sp. RNAcentral describes it as "bacterial SSU rRNA". It matches the Rfam family "Bacterial small subunit ribosomal RNA", at positions 28 to 505 of the family's 1533-position model. Lineage: Bacteria; Pseudomonadati; Bacteroidota; Flavobacteriia; Flavobacteriales; Flavobacteriaceae. The record is from RNAcentral.